Molecule: ribosomal RNA, 292 nt
Filed under: uncultured bacterium
Lineage: Bacteria
Description: partial 16S ribosomal RNA
Rfam family: Bacterial small subunit ribosomal RNA
Source: RNAcentral
GUGCCAGCCGCCGCGGUAAUACGUAGGGUGCAAGCGUUAAUCGGAAUUACUGGGCGUAAAGCGUGCGCAGGCGGUUUUGUAAGUCUGACGUGAAAUCCCCGGGCUCAACCUGGGAAUUGCGUUGGAGACUGCAAGGCUGGAGUCUGGCAGAGGGGGGUAGAAUUCCACGUGUAGCAGUGAAAUGCGUAGAGAUGUGGAGGAACACCGAUGGCGAAGGCAGCCCCCUGGGUCAAGACUGACGCUCAUGCACGAAAGCGUGGGGAGCAAACAGGAUUAGAUACCCCGGUAGUCC